GUUAUACUCCUUCCGUCUCAAAAUUUUUGUCUUAAAUUUGUCUAGAUACAAAUGUAUCAAGUCAUAUUUUUGUAUUAGACACGGACUUGAUACAUCCGUAUCUCGGUAUUAGAUACGGACUUGAUACAUCCGUAUCUAGACAAAUCACAUCUAUAUCUAGACAAAUUUAAGACAAGAAUUUUGGAACGGAAGGAGUAUCAA
This is a non-coding RNA of Triticum aestivum (bread wheat), 201 nucleotides long. NCBI's taxonomy places the organism in Eukaryota, Viridiplantae, Streptophyta, Magnoliopsida, Poales, Poaceae. The record is from Rfam.